CCUACGGGUGGCAGCAGUCGAGAAUCAUUCACAAUGGGGGAAACCCUGAUGGUGCGACGCCGCGUGGGGGAAUGAAGGUCUUCGGAUUGUAAACCCCUGUCAUGUGGGAGCAAAUUAAAAAGAUAGUACCACAAGAGGAAGAGACGGCUAACUCUGUGCCAGCAGCCGCGGUAAUACAGAGGUCUCAAGCGUUGUUCGGAAUCACUGGGCGUAAAGCGUGCGUAGGCUGUUUCGUAAGUCGUGUGUGAAAGGCGCGGGCUCAACCCGCGGACGGCACAUGAUACUGCGAGACUAGAGUAAGGGAGGGGGAGCCGGAAUUCUCGGUGUAGCAGUGAAAUGCGUAGAUAUCGAGAGGAACACUCGUGGCGAAGGCGGGUUCCUGGACAUUAACUGACGCUGAGGCACGAAGGCCAGGGGAGCGAAAGGGAUUAGAUACCCGGGUAGUC
This 446-nucleotide ribosomal RNA is filed under the name uncultured bacterium. RNAcentral's name for it is "partial 16S ribosomal RNA". It matches the Rfam family "Bacterial small subunit ribosomal RNA", at positions 338 to 795 of the family's 1533-position model. The record is from RNAcentral.